This is a long non-coding RNA of Numida meleagris (helmeted guineafowl), 3798 nucleotides long. RefSeq lists it as uncharacterized. The record is from RefSeq and is a predicted model, not a curated record. The transcript is spliced from 2 exons. NCBI's taxonomy places the organism in Eukaryota, Metazoa, Chordata, Aves, Galliformes, Numididae.
CUCUUUCUGAGAAGAAACUUCUCCUAAUAUCUGACCUGAACCUCCCCUGGCGCAACUGAAGGCCAUCCCCUCUCAUCCUAUUGCUGGUAUUUGGGAAAAAGGGGGAGUGGAAAGUGGCAGGGAAGAAUGGUGAAGGGAUAAAGGAGAUGAUUACUUAGGAAGUUUGGUUUCAUUUGUUUCAAAGAAAGUCCCAGAGGCUGGGAACUGCAAAACAGGGGUAAGUACUGUUUUAUUUUAUGUCUCCUAGAACAGUGUGGACUGUCCUUACUCAGGGCUUUUACAUGCAGCCAUUAUUAGUAAUAUAAUUUUAUAUGAGAAAAGUAGGAUCAUAGAAUCAUAGAAAGACUUGGGUUGGAAGAGAGCUUAAAGAUCAUCUAGUUACAACCCCUAAAGGAAUAGUAGAAAGGAGCAAGUAGCUCUUGCUCCACUCUCCUGCUAUGAUUACCUAAAAUCACAGCAGAGGGAGCAGGCUGCAUAGCAGUAUUUGCAGCUGAGGUUCUGGCAGGGAGCAGUAAUGGCACAGGGCUCAACAUUUCUGCUCAUGUGAGUCGUGUCCCCUGGCAAAAAUAGACAGACUCUGCUGCCUGCAGUUUGCAGAGAGCAGCUGAGGGAAGCAAACAAUCUCCCAAGGUGGUCGGCCAGGAGAGGCCAAGGGUGGCUGGAAGGGAGGAAGUGCUGUGUGAAACCUCUGCAGAACUGGCAGAAAUGCCAAGGGGACAGCAUCUCUGCUUCUGAUAAACCUUCAGCUGCUUCCUCUCUGCCCACGGGGCUUCAGGCAGGGCUUUUCUCUCUCCUCCCCGAUGAUGGCUUCUCCUCUGCUUUCAUUGGUCAGCUUGUGUCUGCGUCCCUUUCCUGUGGAAAUUGGAGAUACGGGCAGGAGAAAAGACAUAUUUGGUAAUGUUUCUCUUCAAAGCGUCUUUUUCACAAGGCUGCCUCAGCUGCAAAAUGUUAAGGAGAAAAAAAAGCUCUUGGAACUAAUUCCAGACAGACCCUAAUGCCUACAAAUUUGUCGAGACAAUCCAAUCCACUGAAAGCAAGGGGAUCAUUCAGCAUUUACAGGAGUGAAAACCACUCAGCACGUGUUAGCGGUAUGUACAGAAUGUAAACUUCUGUGUGUACAGGAUGUGAUCUGGCUCACAUACUAACACCAGUAUAUGAGGAAGUCAUGAGGAAAGCAAGAGUGAGGGACCUGAUGUUUUGAUGGCAAUCUCAGGUUACAGCAGCAGGUUGAGAGAACCGGUUGUUUUCCUCCACAUGGCACUUACACGGGCUGCAUCUGAAGAGCUGGGUCCUGUUUUGGGUUCCCCCUGCUACAAGAAACACAUGAGCAGAUUAGAGCAAGUCCAGCAUAGGUCCACUGAACUGGUCAGGGGUCUGGAUCACAGAAUGUGCAAGAAGAAGCUGAGAAGGACACACUGUUCACCAUAAAGAAGAAAGACUUGGGAGUGUCUGACUGAUGUCAACAACUACUUAAAGGACGGACAGAGGGAGAAGACAGAGCCAGAAUCUCCCUGGAAAUGCAAAAUGACAAUGAAGCAACAGUCGCAGAUUGAAAAGAAUAAUCAAAUUUACAAAACACAUGAAAUACCAUAGUAUGAAGAGGAUAAAAUACCCCUAAGAAAUUGGAAAUAGUAAUGUCUGGAGAUAUAUCCUGAGAUCCCAGCAGACUUUGGUGCCUUUGGUUUACCUGAAUUGACCAAUAGUGCACAUAAGUAUAAGUAGUACUUCUACCAAAUGGUAUAUCCUAGUAUGGACUUUCCAAGUCACUGGAAAAUAGGUUACUCUGUGUUUAAAAAGCAUUUAUGCUGACAUGUAUUUUUAAAAAUAAUCAGUUCAGGUCAAAACAUUUUUCUGACUGAUGGUGUAUCUCUCUAGGAUGAUAACGUAUAAAUCUGGGGGUCUGCUUGAUGAGUGUAGAUUGUCUCCAGACAGUUAAGAUAAUCUGGGGAAACCAGACAGCUCCUAUAAACCAAACACAAGAGAUUCUCUCAUAUGGUACUUGUUUACUUGAAUGAGGAACUUUUGAAACUUUACACAUUUAUUCCACAGUCUGGCAGCAGUGGGCACAAAAACUGGAACAAACUGACCUUUCUGACUUUUAUCAAAGACAACCUCUGUCCUUUCUUUACUGUCUCCUUGCCUCUGAAGUCCACUCCCUAGAGAAUAUAGGACUGCUUCAUUUCAUGUUUCCUUCCAUUUUUCCCCUUCCUUCAACUUGUUUCAUAUCACACUCUGCACCUGUUUUGAAAAAGCAAGUAACCUGUGAAGAUAUUCCUCACUCCUGGGAGAGACAGAUGGAACCUGAGCCAUGGCAUCUUUGUUGUGCAGGGUAACAGAAAUAGCUUCCAUCAAAUAAGCUGUUUAGCUAAACGCAGAUGGUCUCUUCAUGAUGAGAGAUGACUUCAGAGGAUGGGCAAUGUCACACAUGCACACAUAAAAGCCAGUAAAUGUGAGACUGAAAAUUCUCCUGUAAGCUAUAACUCCAUGGGAGACAGCCUUGCUGUGAAAACAAGAUGUGAGAGCAGCAGUCGCAAGGGUAUGGGGUAGCUGUGAAUUGUGCCCUUUCCAAAAGUAAAGGUGAAAAUUCUGGAACUUUUUGCAGACCUUCAGCUGAUACUUUGGUUUCCUGAUCUGAUUUAUUUAAUUCAAGUGAGCAGGGAUAUUCUUUCUAUCUGAACUUCAUCAUCACAUAAAGCUGUGAAAUUCAAACUGGGUUUAUAAUGUGACAUGAAAAUUGUAUUACUAUUUAGGAAUCUCAUGUAACUCUGGUGUGUUGUCUGCUAAAAGACAGUAUGUGGCAUUUCAUCAGGGCUCUCCGUAGCCCUAGAAACAAUGCUGCACUCCAUCAAAUACAUAUUACAAAUUCAAAUAGGCAAAGCAGUGGAAAAACAUUGUUAGCUCCCGGUUAAAGUGCUGCUGAGCAGUACACUUGGAAAUCUCUGAGAAGCAUUUCUGUCUAAUUCCAUAGUGUUCAGUAGUCACUAGGAUUGUCAUAACUUGCUCAGUGGCCAGACUGAAUGCAUUUGUUAUAAAAAUGAAUUAAUAUUGUCAUUAAGGUUCUAUCAAACCUUCUCCUUCUGUGUCUGUAUAACUUUAACAUGUAGUGAUGUCUGGGAACUCGGUGUCCUGUCAGCAGAAGUUUAAGAUGUGAAAAAGGUUAUUCAUUUCGUAUAAGAAGUUACCUACAAGUCAAAUAUGGCAGCAUCAAUUCAUGGUUAAUUAAUUACCAGCCUCAGGAAGGGUGUUGGACAACGGGAAACACAAAAGCUUGAAAUGGGAUUUUGAAUUGUUUUGCUGGUUUUUUGUUUAUUAGCUGGAAAAAAAAUGAGAGAAAUAUUUAGUAACAGCAUCAUUGUAAGUAUGGAAAUAGAUUAAAGACUGCAGAAGUAGUUUGAGUUUGAGCUCCCAGGUCCAUUUUGUUAUACUUGUUUAAUUGUAGUACACCACAGAAAGAAUUUUUUAACCAGCAGAACAUCUCUCUGUAUUUACUUCAGAAAUGGAAUACAAAUCACAAAGUUUUGUUUUAAAAUUUGUUGACAUUGGAAUGAUGCUGCCGUGUGCUAUAGAGUACUACUUGAAAUUCAAUUGUCUGCAAACACCAUGAUCAUGGUGGUACAGUGCUGAACUUGUUUUUUUCCUUUUGACUGUAAUCUAAAUUUAAUCAGUUUAUUUUCCCGUUUUGCUUGGAGUCAUCCAGUAUGGAAAAUAAUACCUUAAACUAUGCCUAGAGCAUGCAAAGAGAGAUCAUGCUUCUUUUGAUUUUCUUAUUUUCCCAGCGAAUAAAGUAUGUAUAGCCUU